This 459-nucleotide ribosomal RNA is filed under the name uncultured bacterium. Its description in RNAcentral is "partial 16S ribosomal RNA". It matches the Rfam family "Bacterial small subunit ribosomal RNA", at positions 338 to 795 of the family's 1533-position model. The record is from RNAcentral.
CCUACGGGAGGCAGCAGUGAGGAAUAUUGGUCAAUGGGCGGGAGCCUGAACCAGCCAAGCCGCGUGAGGGAAGAAGGUACAGCGUAUCGUAAACCUCUUUUGUCAGGGAACAAAGGCGGGGACUAGUCCCCGGAUGAGGGUACCUGAAGAAAAAGCAUCGGCUAACUCCGUGCCAGCAGCCGCGGUAAUACGGAGGAUGCGAGCGUUAUCCGGAUUUAUGGGGUUUAAAGGGUGCGCAGGCGGCCUGUUAAGUCAGCGGUAAAAGCCCGGGGCUCAACCCCGGCGAGCCGUUGAAACUGGCGGGCUGGAGUUGGAGAGAAGUACGGGGAAUGCGCGGUGUAGCGGUGAAAUGCUUAGAUAUCGCGCAGAACCCCGAUUGCGAAGGCAGCGUACCGGCUCCACACUGACGCUGAGGCACGAAAGCGUGGGUAUCGAACAGGAUUAGAUACCCCAGUAGUC